CAUAUUUGAUCCUACCUUAACAAUUUGUGAAAGAACCCAGAACAUACAAGAGACGAAAAAUGUCCGAAAAAGAAAGCUCCAUUAAAAAGAAACUACCUGUUAUUUUAAAUGGCCAAUUUUUUAAGCCAGAUGGCAAAUGUGUAUUGUGUGUAAAUAAAAAUUAAAUUCGACGAAAAUUCAACUGGAAAUUUACACAAACAUCUUAAGAGGGUGCAUCCAAACAGCUACGCGUCAUAUGAGGCCAUGAAAUCAAAAGUGGCAAAAAAGGAAGAGAAUAAAUUAUCAGAGCCUAAGCAAGCAAAUUUUUUCUGUUUCCAAAGUUCAAGCAAGCUAAACAACAAAAUUUGCGACUAUAUUAUCGCUGAAAUACGUAUUCGAAACCUUAGUUAUGCUUAAAAAACACAUUAAUUAAGUAAGUU
This 419-nucleotide small RNA is filed under the name Drosophila yakuba. RNAcentral describes it as "GE27964". Lineage: Eukaryota; Metazoa; Arthropoda; Insecta; Diptera; Drosophilidae. The record is from RNAcentral.